Molecule: ribosomal RNA, 229 nt
Filed under: uncultured bacterium
Lineage: Bacteria
Description: partial 16S ribosomal RNA
Rfam family: Bacterial small subunit ribosomal RNA
Source: RNAcentral
CGUGUAGGCGGAUUAAUAAGUCAGUGGUGAAAUCUUUCGGCUCAACCGAGAAACUGCCAUUGAUACUGUUAAUCUUGAGUUCGGUUGAGGUAGGCGGAAUGUGUAAUGUAGCGGUGAAAUGCUUAGAUAUUACACAGAACACCAAUUGCGUAGGCAGCUUACUAGACCGACACUGACGCUGAGGCACGAAAGCGUGGGGAGCGAACAGGAUUAGAUACCCUGGUAGUCC